Molecule: ribosomal RNA, 251 nt
Filed under: uncultured bacterium
Lineage: Bacteria
Description: partial 16S ribosomal RNA
Rfam family: Bacterial small subunit ribosomal RNA
Source: RNAcentral
CCCCUUGAGAGUGGCGAACGGGUGAGUAAUAUAUCGGAACGUGCCCAGUCGUGGGGGAUAACGUAGCGAAAGUUACGCUAAUACCGCAUACGAUCUAAGGAUGAAAGCGGGGGACCUUCGGGCCUCGCGCGAUUGGAGCGGCCGAUGUUAGAUUAGGUAGUUGGUGGGGUAAAAGCCUACCAAGGCUACGAUCAGUAGCUGGUCUGAGAGGACGACCAGCCACACUGGGACUGAGACACGGCCCAGACUCC